GAUGAACGCUGGCGGCGUGCCUAACACAUGCAAGUCGAACGGAGUCCAGCCUUUAAGACCUUCGGGUCAAAGAGGGGAAGACUGAGUGGCGGACGGGUGAGUAACACGUGGGCAACCUGGCUCAUAGAGGGGGAUAACAGAGAGAAAUUUCUGCUAAUACCGCAUAAGCACACACUGCCGCAUGGCAGAGGGUGAAAAGAGAAUCGCUAUGAGAUGGACCCGCGUCUGAUUAGCCAGUUGGCAGGGUAAGAGCCUACCAAAGCGACGAUCAGUAGCCGAUCUGAGAGGAUGAACGGCCACAUUGGGACUGAGACACGGCCCAAACUCCUACGGGAGGCAGCAGUGGGGGAUAUUGCACAAUGGGGGGAACCCUGAUGCAGCGACGCCGCGUGAGUGAAGAAGUAUUUCGGUAUGUAAAGCUCUAUCAGCAGGGAAGAUAAUGACAGUACCUGAAUAAGAAACCCCGGCUAACUACGU
RNAcentral lists this ribosomal RNA (477 nucleotides) under uncultured bacterium. RNAcentral's name for it is "partial 16S ribosomal RNA". It matches the Rfam family "Bacterial small subunit ribosomal RNA", at positions 28 to 506 of the family's 1533-position model. The record is from RNAcentral.